Molecule: non-coding RNA, 90 nt
Organism: Claviceps monticola
Lineage: Eukaryota; Fungi; Ascomycota; Sordariomycetes; Hypocreales; Clavicipitaceae
Source: the annotation of a GenBank genome assembly
GCCCGGUUAGCUCAAUCGGUAGAGCGUGAGACUCUUAUGCCUUGUGCAGAGAUUAUCUCAAGGUUGCGGGUUCGACCCCCGCAUCGGGCU